UACGUAGGGGUCGAGCGUUGUCCGGAGUUACUGGGCGUAAAGCGCGUGCAGGUGGCUCAUUACGCCCGGCGUGAAAGCCCCCGGCUCAACCGGGGAGGGUCGUCGGGGACGGGUGAGCUUGAGGGUAGCAGGGGCUGGUAGAAUUCCCGGUGUAGUGGUGAAAUGCGUAGAGAUCGGGAGGAAUACCCGUGGCGAAGGCGGCCAGCUGGGCUACACCUGACACUGAGACGCGAAGGCGUGGGGAGCGAACGGGAUAGAA
This 259-nucleotide ribosomal RNA is filed under the name uncultured bacterium. Its description in RNAcentral is "partial 16S ribosomal RNA". It matches the Rfam family "Bacterial small subunit ribosomal RNA", at positions 524 to 782 of the family's 1533-position model. The record is from RNAcentral.